AUUGAACGCUGGCGGCAGGCCUAACACAUGCAAGUCGAGCGGCAGCGGAAAGUAGCUUGCUACUUUGCCGGCGAGCGGCGGACGGGUGAGUAAUGUCUGGGAAACUGCCUGAUGGAGGGGGAUAACUACUGGAAACGGUAGCUAAUACCGCAUAACGUCGCAAGACCAAAGAGGGGGACCUUCGGGCCUCUUGCCAUCAGAUGUGCCCAGAUGGGAUUAGCUAGUAGGUGGGGUAACGGCUCACCUAGGCGACGAUCCCUAGCUGGUCUGAGAGGAUGACCAGCCACACUGGAACUGAGACACGGUCCAGACUCCUACGGGAGGCAGCGGUGGGGAAUAUUGCACAAUGGGCGCAAGCCUGAGGCAGCCAUGCCGCGUGUAUGAAGAAGGCCUUCGGGUUGUAAAGUACUUUCAGCGGGGAGGAAGGUGCUGAGGUUAAUAACCUCAGCAAUUGACGUUACCCGCAGAAGAAGCACCGGCUAACUCCGUGCCAGCAGCCGCCGUAA
This 506-nucleotide ribosomal RNA is filed under the name uncultured bacterium. RNAcentral's name for it is "partial 16S ribosomal RNA". It matches the Rfam family "Bacterial small subunit ribosomal RNA", at positions 30 to 523 of the family's 1533-position model. The record is from RNAcentral.